AAGAUAAACACAGACAGUGAUCGAAAUAAUUUUCAAACUCAACCAGACAGUCGGGCAGGUGACCAAUAAAUGUUGCCUGCCCAUCUUGAAAGUUGCCUGCCUGCAAUUUUGACUCAUAGAUUGCAUUUUUUACAAAAACAAACAAGUAUCAUUGUUUCAAAUGUGAAUUAAUUUAGCAAAUUGAAUACAACAAGCAUGAAAUUAAAUACUCAGUCACAUCCCCAGCCUGUGACAUUUGAAAAGAGCCUGUUAAACUUGCAAUUCCACUUAUUGGUUUACAUCAUCAAAAUUAUGUAUUUUCUGAAAAAGUUUAAUAGCAAAACGUUUACAGCAAUACCCAUCUCAAAUAUAUCUUCUCCCUUGUUGUACAUACAAAGCUUCCAAAAGGGAGGUAUUUAAAUAUAUCAGCCAGACAAUGGGGCUGGUGGAGAUUUUUUUCAGGCAGCCCGACACGAAAGUUGCCAGCCUCGGGCAGGCAGGCAGGCCAUUAUUUCGAUCACUGUUUGCAAGGACCACCUGAAUAAGUAUGAUGAAAGUAACUAGAAAAAAGUGGAGAGUAAUGUUGAGUGACAUACACAGUUUUUCUUUUUGUCUGUGCCAUUUCUAUAUAAAAAAAUCUAAUGUACAAAGAUAACAUGGGAGUUUGUUAAGAGGAGUCAACCCAUGCUCUUCAUAUGGCAACUGUGC
This is a long non-coding RNA of Haliotis rubra (blacklip abalone), 687 nucleotides long. RefSeq lists it as uncharacterized. Lineage: Eukaryota; Metazoa; Mollusca; Gastropoda; Lepetellida; Haliotidae. The transcript is spliced from 3 exons. The record is from RefSeq and is a predicted model, not a curated record.